RNAcentral lists this long non-coding RNA (637 nucleotides) under Setaria viridis. RNAcentral's name for it is "long non-coding RNA (SVIR_LNC007150)". The record is from RNAcentral. Lineage: Eukaryota; Viridiplantae; Streptophyta; Magnoliopsida; Poales; Poaceae.
CUCGAGUGAUGGGUAGCAGCGGUGCAAGCGCAAAGGAUUCGGCAGUAAGUAAGAAGAAACUACUUGGGUCUCCCCAAUGCAGAUUCGCUGGUUUCUUGGCUCAUCGGUGUGCGUGAGGACUUGGUUUCCUCUCUAAGAAAUAGUUUCUCUCUCUCCAUAAUAAAUCUACUACCAUAUCAGCAAAUUGCUUAGUUGGCAUGAUAAUUAAGAGGGAUAGAAACUAUCAUCAAUGUCCCAUUGGGACUGCCCUAAGCAUCAUCUAUACAUAAUUAUUUCAUUCAAUUUAAUAUAAUCCAAGCUGAGAUAUAAACUGUCUGAUGACAAAUAAUAGUCAAAAUUCAAUCGUACCUAUCUAAUUUAAAUUCACAUAAAUGAUCUUGGAAUCUAAAUGAACAAUCAAAAGAAAGAUAAAGAUAACAAAACCCAUGGAACAAGGAAAUACCUUCAAAAUACAUAUCAUUCUAGCAAGUAAAUUGUAACAUAUAUGUGAGCUACAUAUUGCUCUACCAUUCUCCAUACAUCUAUAUUAAGAAGGUUACAAUAUUUUUUUCCCUAAAUUAGAGUUCAGCGCUUGAGCCCUAGCUACAAUGCAUCACCAUGGAGCAAGAACAUAUCUUUCUAGACUUGUAGGUUCGCU